RNAcentral lists this ribosomal RNA (585 nucleotides) under Triticum aestivum (bread wheat). RNAcentral describes it as "partial small subunit ribosomal RNA". Lineage: Eukaryota; Viridiplantae; Streptophyta; Magnoliopsida; Poales; Poaceae. The record is from RNAcentral.
UAUCUUCGUGGCGGAGUCAUUCUUACCAAAGAUAACCUUAUUAAGAGGAAUUGGCAUGGAAGUCCGCAGUGUGUCUUUUGUUAUCAUGACGACACAAUAAAAUAUUUAUUCUUCCAAUGCAAAUUGGCUCGUUCUAUAUGGCGAGUCAUCGAAAUAGCUUCUGCCUUGUAUCCUCCUUGUAGUGGUGCUAAUGUAUUUGGCAACUGGUUAUAUGAGAUUAAUCACGGGUUUAAAACUCUCCUCGGGGUGGGAGCGCUUGUCGUUAUUUGGUCGCUUUGGCUAUGUCAAAAUUCUAAGGUUUUCAAUGAUAAAAGUACUUCUUUGAUGCAGGUUAUAUACAGACGUACCGAGACUUUUCAUUUAUCGUCCUCUCUACCCCGUGUGGAGAAUCGAGACAUGUUUACGGAGAUGUGUACACGAUUGGAGGCCAUCAUGAUCUUAGGAUUGGCCCCCCUCUGCUCUCGGCGUAAUAUGGACUCUACAUGUCUCUUUGUAUUUUGCCUUUUUUUUAUUUUUCGUUUGUGUGAGUGGACCAUAUUUGGCUGUGUGCAUCUUAGUUAUGCAGAGGCCUGGUGUAAUGCUUAA